AAAGUCGUAACAAGGUUUCCGUAGGUGAACCUGCGGAAGGAUCAUUACAAAUCAGUGUUGGCUGCAUGGGGGGAGUUGUUGUGUUGGGUGAGUUGGUGGUGGUUGUGUGGGAGUGUUGCAAGCGCUAAGGUGUCUUGCAAUGUACUCACGCCUCCGCUGCUCUCAUCAUCCCGCAUACCCGACCCCCGAGCAGCUGCUCACAUUUGCGCUUGUUGUGUUUGACAGAGUAAACUAUUUAUGAAAUGAGACAACUUUUAACAAUGGAUCUCUUGGCUCUU
Molecule: unclassified non-coding RNA, 278 nt
Filed under: Basidiomycota sp.
Lineage: Eukaryota; Fungi; Basidiomycota
Description: partial contains small subunit ribosomal RNA, internal transcribed spacer 1, and 5.8S ribosomal RNA
Rfam family: Eukaryotic small subunit ribosomal RNA (bases 1-47)
Source: RNAcentral